GAAAAAUCAGGGAGCGAAAGUGGAAGGAAAAGAGAGAAUAAAACGCCAAACAAGUCCCUUCCUAUGACUGCAUUCAUGAACAGCAACGUGCAGGGUGUCAACAACUCCAUUCUCCAUAAUGCUUCUUGCACUCACCAUGAUCCUGGUGUUCACCUUGUUUUUGCAAGAAAGACCAAUGGUAGGCAUGGGUUCAACAUUAAGGGCAGUCCAAAGAGCUAAAAUAUGUUGAAAAGACAGUCAAACACUCAGAGUCUUCUUCAUGGAUGGUCCUUUUUUCUAUUGGUAUUUUGAAAAAAUAAAUUGAGUGGUAUGGAAAAGGGGAUGGAUUCUGAUUCUUCAUGCAUGGCUGCAACCCACUUCUCAUGCACGAGAACCAUCCUUCAUUUUGGAAGGACAGAGAGAAUCUACGCACAGUGUUACUCCAUGCAAUAAACCUUUCUUAUGUAUUGAGCAAUGCUUCUUGCACUCACCAUGACCCUGGUGUCCACCUUGUUUUUGCAAGAAAGACAAAUGGUAGGCAUGGGUUCCACAUUAGGGGCAGUCCAAAGAGCUAAAAUAUGUUUAAAGGACAGUCAAACACUCAAGAGUCUUUUUCAUGGAGGGUCCUUUUUUUUCAAUUGGUAUUUUGAAAAAAUAAAUUUAGUGGUACGAAAAGGGCAUGGAUUCUGAUUCUUCAUGCAUGGCUGCGACCCACUUCUCAAGCACGAGAACCAUCCUUGCCCGUGGAAGGACAGAGAGAAUCUAUGCACAAUGUUACUACAUGCAAUAAACCUUUCUUAUGUAUUGAGCAUUAUUAUUGUUCUAUGUAAUUUGUAACUCCAAUAUAUCAAGAACUCC
This 837-nucleotide long non-coding RNA is filed under the name Nicotiana benthamiana. Its description in RNAcentral is "long non-coding RNA (NBEN_LNC006849)". The record is from RNAcentral. Lineage: Eukaryota; Viridiplantae; Streptophyta; Magnoliopsida; Solanales; Solanaceae.